UGCCCAAUGCGGGAAUCGAACCCGGGUCGUAGCGGUCGAAAACCAAUGUUUUAGACCAUUCUUCCAUCGACCAACAUGGAU
Molecule: non-coding RNA, 81 nt
Organism: Cordylochernes scorpioides
Lineage: Eukaryota; Metazoa; Arthropoda; Arachnida; Pseudoscorpiones; Chernetidae
Source: the annotation of a GenBank genome assembly